Molecule: non-coding RNA, 114 nt
Organism: Acanthosepion pharaonis
Lineage: Eukaryota; Metazoa; Mollusca; Cephalopoda; Sepiida; Sepiidae
Source: the annotation of a GenBank genome assembly
UUACGACCACAUCAUGUUGAAACACCAGUUCUCGUACGAACAUCGAGGUUAAGCAACGUCGAUCUUGGCCAGUACCUCGAUGGGUAGUCGCUUGGGAAUAGCAGAUGUUGUAAU